This is a long non-coding RNA of Capsella rubella, 968 nucleotides long. RefSeq lists it as uncharacterized. The record is from RefSeq and is a predicted model, not a curated record. The transcript has 3 exons. NCBI's taxonomy places the organism in Eukaryota, Viridiplantae, Streptophyta, Magnoliopsida, Brassicales, Brassicaceae.
UUUUAACUACUAUAUCAACGUAAGCAAGACCUCACUUAGAGCGCACUAGCCAUUACUUGACAGCCAAAGACAACCAAGUCAGUUUAUAUUGUUGUUUCCAUUUAAACAUUGUUCUCUUGUGUUUUUACUCAUGCUUAGAAUUCUUGGUUGGCAGGUGGUUCAUUUGCAUCCAUCAAUUUGCGAGGAUCACAAAACCUGAGUGGGUAAGUUAUCACAUAACCCCUCAUGAAACGUGGCCUCGAGAAGCUUUAUCAGAAAAGAGAAAAGGACAAUCAUAUGUCAACGUUUAUAUUUACUUGGACAAGAGAAGCAAUCCAUAAGAGGAGGAUUAUAUAGUAACUCGAGGUAUUUAGCAGGAAGCUGCUCCGUCUCCUUUGUGGUUUCAAAAUUUAGACCAACAACCAAGUCGCCUCAGGAUGAUCAAGAGUCUUGCAGCUAGACAAACAGAACCAAACCCCAACGAGAGAACAUGAUCUGGCUUUCAUAGAUUUAUGAUACCGUAGAAGGUUCCAGGAACUGGAGUCAAGCGACGGGCAACUUUGAAAGCUAUGCACCAUUCAUCAAUUUGCUACGACCCUAAAUAUUACUGUCAUGGCCACACAGUUUCUGUGGAUGUCGGUUUGGGUUCUAUCUACAAACCAUAUUGUCAAGUUGCAGAUAUCCUCAUUCAAGAUCGGUUUCCUCGUUUACAAAAAGGAUCUCCUCCUCCUCUGAUGCCUCCCUAUCAUCGUUGUUCUCCAACUCAAGCUCGAUACUGGUAGCCUUUUCUUUGUUAUUAUCUUUCAACUAUGAUUAAAUCCAUAGACACCAGACUUGCUUUCUCCACCUCCUUGUUUUGAGUCUUCCCCAUACAUGGUGGUUAAAAUGUGAUUGUUAUGGUUUCCUUCUCAUUAGGAGAGAAACUGAACAAAAACAUCAACGUCUAAAAGGAUUAGUUAUCUUUUUCAUCAAAUAUCAUAUGAAAGCAA